This 253-nucleotide ribosomal RNA is filed under the name uncultured bacterium. Its description in RNAcentral is "partial 16S ribosomal RNA". It matches the Rfam family "Bacterial small subunit ribosomal RNA", at positions 524 to 776 of the family's 1533-position model. The record is from RNAcentral.
UACGUAGGGUGCAAGCGUUGUCCGGAAUUAUUGGGCGUAAAGAGCUCGUAGGCGGUUUGUCGCGUCGGCUGUGAAAACCUGGGGCUCAACCCCGGGCCUGCAGCCGAUACGGGCAAACUAGAGUUCGGCAGGGGAGACUGGAAUUCCUGGUGUAGCGGUGGAAUGCGCAGAUAUCAGGAGGAACACCGGUGGCGAAGGCGGGUCUCUGGGCCGAUACUGACACUGAGAAGCGAAAGCGUGGGGAGCGAACAGG